CUGCCCCCGCCGCCGCCUCUGCCGCCGCUGUUGCGACUGCUGCUGCUGCUGGAGCUCUUGCUGGCUGCAACGGCAUGGUCAGCGGAGAUAUGCAAGCCAGUAGAUGGUCAGUGCGAGGGUCCGCCUCUGCCAGGCACCUUCUUCAUCUCUCGUAACAACACACAAGUACUGGCUGCCCUCGGAGAUGAUGUCCGCCUUCCGUGUCAGAUUCGAGGGGCCAUGACGCACAAGGUAUGCUGGUUCCGCAAAUCGUCUCGGCGUCUGCUAACGGUCCAGGAUAAGAGCUUCACGCAGGAUGAGAGG
Molecule: long non-coding RNA, 303 nt
Organism: Pollicipes pollicipes
Lineage: Eukaryota; Metazoa; Arthropoda; Thecostraca; Pollicipedomorpha; Pollicipedidae
Exons: 3
Source: RefSeq, a predicted model, not a curated record